UAAAACGGAGGGUGCAAGCGUUGUUCGGAAUUACUGGGCGUAAAGCGCGUGCAGGUGGUCUUUUAAGUUUCGUGUGAAAUCCCUUGGCUUAACCGAGGAACGGCACGGAAAACUGAAAGACUUGAGGAUGGGAGAAGAGGGCGGAAUUCCCAGUGUAGAGGUGAAAUUCGUAGAUAUUGGGAGGAACACCGGUGGCGAAAGCGGCUCUCUAGACCAUUUCUGACACUCAUACGCGAGAGCGCGGGGAGCAAACAGGAUUAGAUACCCUGGUAGUCCGCGCUGUAAACGAUGGAUGCUAGGUGUUGCGGGAGUUGACCCCCGCAGUGCCGAAGCCAACGCAUUAAGCAUCCCGCCUGGGAAGUACGGUCGCAAGACUA
RNAcentral lists this ribosomal RNA (377 nucleotides) under uncultured bacterium. RNAcentral describes it as "bacterial SSU rRNA". It matches the Rfam family "Bacterial small subunit ribosomal RNA", at positions 521 to 896 of the family's 1533-position model. The record is from RNAcentral.